UCGGAUCGCAGGCUGCAACCCGCCUGCGUGAAGUUGGAAUCGCUAGUAAUCGCGGAUCAGCAUGCCGCGGUGAAUACGUUCCCGGGCCUUGUACACACCGCCCGUCACACCAUGAGAGUCGGGAACACCCGAAGUCCGUAGCCUAACCGCAAGGGGGCGCGGCCGAAGGUGGGUUCGAUAAUUGGGUGAAGUCGUAACAAGGUAUC
This 206-nucleotide ribosomal RNA is filed under the name uncultured bacterium. RNAcentral's name for it is "partial 16S ribosomal RNA". It matches the Rfam family "Bacterial small subunit ribosomal RNA", at positions 1293 to 1500 of the family's 1533-position model. The record is from RNAcentral.